AUGUACCCGGCGGGGGCCAUGGUGGCGGCCGCGGCGGCGCCGGCGCGCCAGGCGGCGUCGCGGGUCGACAAGGCCACCAGCCACCUGCUCAUGGGCCCCGACUGGGCCGUCAACCUCGAAAUCUGCGACAUCAUCAACGCCGACGUCUGGCAAACAAAAGAUGUGGUAAAGGCAGUGAAGAAGCGAUUGCAACAUAAGGAUCCGAAAGUUCAAUACUAUGCUUUGACGUUAUUGGAGACGAUGAUGAAGAACUGUGGAGAAUAUGUUCAGUUUGAAGUCGCUGAACAGCAUGUUCUGCAAGAAAUGGUUAAAAUAAUCCAAAAGAAGAAUGAUAUGCAAGUAAGGGAUAAGAUAUUAUUACUUUUGGACUCCUGGCAAGAAGCAUUUGGUGGACCUGGAGGUAAAUACCGGCAGUAUCACUGGGCAUAUCUUGAAGUAAAGCGGACAGGUGUAGUGUUUCCAAGACGUCCCAUAGAUGCCCCACCAAUACUUACUCCUCCUGCAAUACACAGUUCUCAAAACUAUGGUUCACCCGGAUAUGCUGCAGGAAGUUUGAAUGAGAGGAUGUCCUCCGAUGUUGAUACUCUGAGUUUAGGAGACUUGAAUAAUAUUCGAAAUGUGACGGAGUUACUGAAUGAUAUGGUGUAUGCUUUGAACCCAUCAGAUCCAGAGGCCGUCAAAGAUGAAAUCAUCACAGAUCUCGUGAGCCAAUGUCGCUCAAAUCAGCAAAAGCUCAUGCAGUUUGUCAGUUCGACAGGGAACGAGCAGUUACUAAAGCAAGGUCUCGAAAUAAAUGAUCGCCUACAAAAUGUGCUUACAAAAUAUGAUGCCAUCGCUUCUGGUACUCAUUUGGCAGUUGAAGCUCCCGUGAGAGAGACAAUUGAGUCUCCUAGGGAGGAUCCACCAGCAAAACCAUCCUCAUCUCCUGUUGAACAAAAUGACGCUUCCAAUGAAGAGGAGGAUGAGUUCGCUCGGCUGGCUCAAAGAAAAAACAAAUCUGUGAUAAGUAGCGAUGAGACGUCAUCAAGCACAAGCACUGUGGACCUUGCCCUCGUACCCAUUGAUCUGCCAAGCUCAGAAUCGCCCCCUUCUGUUGCAAGCAAUGCAUUGGUUCCCCUUGAUCCAGCUCCUGUCACUAGUAGUACUCAAACAAAAGAGCAGGAUAUGAUUGACCUUCUAAGCCUCACUUUGUGCAGCCCUACUGAUGAAACUUCUACAGAUUCUUCAGCACAGAGUCAAAAUGGUCUCCAGCAGCCUCCAGAUGGGCAACAAAAUCCUACUGGUGUGCCCCAAUAUCCUUCAACCAACCAGCCAUACUCAGUAAACCAAGGAUAUACUCCACAGAAUAGCAAUUAUGUUGCACCUUGGGCCCAAACUGGACCAUAUCCAUCUCAAGCCCAGACCGGACCAUAUCCAUCUCAAGCCCAAACCAGACCAUAUCCAUCUCAAGCCCAAACCGGACCAUAUCCAUCUCAAGCUCAAACUGGACCAUAUCCAUCUCAAGCCCCAGCAUACACAUCCGGAUAUCCAGUGCCACCUUGGGCUACACCUCCAACUGCCAAUUCUAAUCCUUUCCUGUCGGCUGCUUACCAAGAACAACUCCCCUCGGCCGUCUCUGGUGCCCCAGCAACCACCUAUGCAGCUCCCUCACCUUCAUAUAGCUCUCCUCCAGCCUCCCAGCCAAUGCAACAGUACAGUUCUGUGGCCUCUCCAACAAGCAAUGGUCUAACGAUGCCUCAAGCUCCAAAUGGGAAUCAUCAACCGAAGGAUUCUUCAGCAGCGGCAAGCAAACCUUACUACAUACUCGAUAAUUUGUUCAGUGAUUUGAUUGACUUGAAGAGCACCAGUGGUGGAAAUAAGACGGGUACUAGUUUGGGUAGCUCAAAUGGUGGCCAGCCUAUGAUUGGUGGAAAGAAAUAA
Molecule: ribosomal RNA, 1920 nt
Filed under: Triticum aestivum (bread wheat)
Lineage: Eukaryota; Viridiplantae; Streptophyta; Magnoliopsida; Poales; Poaceae
Description: partial small subunit ribosomal RNA
Source: RNAcentral